RNAcentral lists this ribosomal RNA (380 nucleotides) under uncultured bacterium. RNAcentral describes it as "partial 16S ribosomal RNA". It matches the Rfam family "Bacterial small subunit ribosomal RNA", at positions 355 to 727 of the family's 1533-position model. The record is from RNAcentral.
UGGGGAAUAUUGCACAAUGGGCGCAAGCCUGAUGCAGCCAUGCCGCGUGUAUGAAGAAGGCCUUCGGGUUGUAAAGUACUUUCAGCGGGGAGGAAGGUGUUGAGGUUAAUAACCUCAGCAAUUGACGUUACCCGCAGAAGAAGCACCGGCUAACUCCGUGCCAGCAGCCGCGGUAAUACGGAGGGUGCAAGCGUUAAUCGGAAUUACUGGGCGUAAAGCGCACGCAGGCGGUCUGUCAAGUCGGAUGUGAAAUCCCCGGGCUCAACCUGGGAACUGCAUUCGAAACUGGCAGGCUAGAGUCGUGUAGAGGGGGGUAGAAUUCCAGGUGUAGCGGUGAAAUGCGUAGAGAUCUGGAGGAAUACCGGUGGCGAAGGCGGCCC